Long non-coding RNA from Haemorhous mexicanus (house finch), 4645 nucleotides. RefSeq lists it as uncharacterized. The record is from RefSeq and is a predicted model, not a curated record. The transcript has 3 exons. Lineage: Eukaryota; Metazoa; Chordata; Aves; Passeriformes; Fringillidae.
AAGAUGGCAACUGUUAGAAAUUUUAUUUGAAAUAAUUGUGUGGUUUUCCAAGAAGCGUCAUUCAACAGCUGCUCCAUCCCAGUUCCUGGCAAAGCUGGUAAGGACAGUUUUCCAGACAUGACUUUGCUAAACCAAGGCAGGGUGUUAUUUUCAGUCAGAGUCCUCAGAAAUGAUUUUUAGCCUCAUCUCACCCUUCUAGUUUCUUAGAGUUCAGCUCAGAUUAAGCAGUAACUCAUCCAGAGAGAACAUGAAAAUAGUGGAAUCCAACACAAUUAAAUAAAUUCACAGUCAAGUCAUGUUAAGAAAUCUGAGUGUGUUUUCCCUUCCACUUGGGACCAUGCAACACCCAACUGCUGUUUCUGGGAAGAAUGACAGGUUUCAAGCACAAUGACAACUAAGCAAAGCAUUACUUAGACUGUCAGCUGAAGCAGAUGUGGCUAUGCCAUCUGAAGUCAGCUUUAUGUGGCAUUAAUAGAUUCAGUAUGUAUGUCACUGAGAAUCACUAAAUAUUGUUUCUCAUAUUAAACAGGAUCUGCUUCCCCUUUCAUUUUGGAGAGACCAAAACCUGUGAGAUUCUGCUCCACAUUCACUUUUCCAAGCUGAGAGAAAACUGAAUUCAGCUGUGGAAUUCUGAUUGUGGAUUCCUGAUACCUCUGUUCCAGCACACCUGUUUUCCAGCUGGGCUCUGGCUUCAUCCUUCCUCUGACUGACCCACAGCUGGGCUUGUAGCUGCCCAAGGACAGGCAGCAGUGCCAAAUACACAUUUAAGGGAGCCUCUAAUGAAUCCCCACUGAAAUUCCAUCAGCUGUGCAAAGUACAUUGAUUAAAUGCUACUUGCCACACAGGACCUAACCCCAGUUGCUGUCUCUUUCCAGAGGCAGGACAAAUGGCACAGACAGGGCCCUCUCUCCCAUCAGCAGUGGACUUGUGGCACUGAGAUGUCCAAGGGCAGCUGCUGGAUCACACCCUGAGGAUUGCUGCUGAGCUUCUGUUGUGGAAGAGCUGGCAUAGACAGGAAGAAAAGCUGCUUUUAAGGUAUGCUAAGAUAAAAGAGAGCAGCAGCAGCUCUGUGAGAAACUCCAGGGUUGCUCUUGCUGCCCUAGGAUAGUUGACUGUACACAUAUUUUGUCUGGAUGGCCAUUUUUAUUUUAGGGAUUCUUUAGAAUGGGCCUCUUUUUUAUAAGAGAUAAUUUCUUGUUAAAGUUGGCCUUUGAUCUCCAAGUGGAAGUUUGGGCACAAGUACAAUUUAAAAUAUUUCUUAACAGCAGAAAUUAUAAUAGUAGCUGUGUUGCCUUUUUGAAAGUAAGUUUUGUCUCUGCUAGUGAAUGUCUGCAAUUUGUGCUAUUGUUCCUCAGAUGAAAGUGUGGGGUUUUUUUACAAUGAAGAAUUCUCCUAUCAUAGAAUUGGAGAGCUCUGUGGGUAAAUAAACCUCCUUUAAUCUCCUUAGCCUUUCACUUGGAUCAUUUAUCUGCUAUAGAUCUAAUAAUUGAGAUGAAACCCACACAAUAUUUUAUUCUUUAAACUGACAAUGUGGGCAACAUAACACAGCUGGCAUUUUUCUCUCUUUCACAUUCAUUUUGGGACAUGUGUGGUGGCCAAAUGACACUGCCACAGCCCACUGUCCUGAUGUCACUAAGGGCAAUGAGGCCGUGACCUGGCUAUCUUUGUCCAGCUGUUAAUUUUUAGAAGCUUUGGGAAGAUUUAUCUUCUAUGGGGGGCUAUGAAUUUUCAUUUCCAUUAAAAUUUAUUCAAACAAAAUGAACACAAGUCCCUUUUAAACACAGAAGUUUUGGGUUUGUGGUUUGUUGUUUUUUUUUUAAACUGCAUAACUGCAGCUGUUUUUUGCCUGAGAACCCGAGUCAGCACAUGGUGUGAAAUAUUGUUACAUGCAUUUCAGAAAGUCAAAAGCCCAAAUAUUGUUGCUGUGCAGGAGAAGUGAUGGGGUUCUUGAGAAUAUGAGUGGUGAGCAGUUACUCAGACUAAUAACAGGAUGUCUGCAGUCCACUAAAGAGCAUUGGCAAUCACUCAGACACCUGAGCACUGCACAGGGAGGACAUCCACAGCAGCAAAUGUUCAGAUAUACUGCUGAAAAUACAUAACAUUUCUGUGAAUAAAUGAAGCCCAGAGUCAUGCUUGGUAUACUCAGGAUCUAACUAACAAAGCAGAUUAAAUGUGAGUGGGAGAUGCAUGACUUGAGAUCUAAUCAGUGGAAACACACACAACAAAAUGAAGGGGAAACUGGUGGAGUGUGUAAAAAGAGGGAUUGGGAAGUGGGUUUUGAGCUCUGAGCAUGUUGCUGGGCUCUCUCUGUGCAGUGUGGCACUCACUGCUCUGCCUCAGCAAAGGGGGUGGGUGGAAACUCAGGAUUGAAACCCUGUGCCUGGACACACUGAAUGAGCCCCUUUGGCCUUUUGUAAUCAGGAUUUGUUCCAGGGGCUGCAGAAGGGAGAAAAGGGUCCAAACCCACAUUCCUCAAUUAGCCCUGGUGCAAUUAAGUGGCCUUUCUGCAUUUGCAGUUCCCUGUGUCUCAAUAGAUAGUAGUUAAUAGUUUUAAUUAGCUGCAACCAGAUAAUUAAAUCUGAUGGGCAUCUUGAUAGGAACAACUUGUCAUGGCACAAGGCUUCAUAAAGUUGACAGUGGCUCUCUAGGCAGCAACUGCUUUUGAUGGAAGAUCUCCAAACUGCUUAAGGUGUGUUUGAAAUAUUAAAAUAGAAAUGGUUGCUUUGUUUCCUGGCUGGCUCCAGCUUGAGCAUUAGGUCACAUCAAAGUCAAAGUGUAUUUUUAAUGAUCAGUGCUAGCUGGGGUGCUGGGCCUUGAGGGAUGAUCUGGGAAAAGGGAGAUCAGGACUAAAUUGGCUUCUCUUUAGAGUGCUGGGAAGAGAAAGGCAAGCAGGAAUGACCUAAUAGUGUUCCAUAGUCACUUUACAGACUAUCUCCAUCAGAAAUAAAACCAAAAUUUCUACAUUGAAAGAAUCUAAACAGAUAACCCAGCCUCCAUGCCGGUAUUGUUAUAAAAAAUAAUAAGAAAUAUAACUAUAAAAAAAAUCUGUGUAAAAACUAAUAUUAUUCAUAAUGUCUGGUUGUACUUCAGAUCAUUAUUGUAUUGUAUCCAAGUUUGAGGUUAUUAUCCUUAAUUGACCAUGAUUUCUUUCAUCCAACAGCUUGGCAAAUGACACAAUGGCAAGUUUUGGAUAAUUAAAUAAAUAUUUAUAAAUUAAUACCCAGUAUUUCUCCAUUCCAUCAUUCCAAAAGACCUUUAACAAACACAUUUUCAAAGGAAUUAUAACUUUCUUUGUGUUAUGAGUAAUGCAAUAUUAAACAUAUACCUAAACUCUUGAAUUGUGGCUUUAUCUUUGUUGUUAGUGAUCAAAUACUUAUUGCAUUGAUUAUUCAAACAAUUAGACAUUUUAUCAGUUUCCUUGAAAGGCUCAGAAGUAAAGAACCAAACCCCUUGAAGGGCUGUCCAAUAUUUAUUUUACUGUCAGCAGAAGGAUCAUUGGGCAGGAGGAUACUGCAACAGGGGGAAAAAAGCAUUUGUUGCAGGAAGUCUCAGACUUUCAAAGUGAGUGCUCUACAACCUUUGCUGUGCUGCUUCUUGCAAAAAAAAAAAAAAAAAAAAAAACCCAAACCAAAACCUGAAAACUGGAGGCCAGGCCCACACCUGAGGAUACCUAUCACAACUGCAGGAGCAUUAAAGGAAGCAAAGCCAUCCCUUACCCAGCUGAAGGCUCUGCUCAAACAUCCAUUCUGCUUUGACUUAAGUGGUGUUUAAAGACAAUAACAUGAGGAAAAUCUGCAUUUCACCCUUGCAGAAGAGAUGAUGCAACGCUCCUAUUUUUAUGCACGAAAAUAGAAUUUAAGAUCAUAUAUAAUUAGAACUGGAGAUGUAAAUUCCUCAGGGUUUUUUAAUGAACAUCAAAUAGUGGCACCAAUGAAAUCCCGAUGUUUUUAAGGUUAUAAUUUACCAGUGGCAUGAAAUGAAAAAUUAGUAUUUAGAUCUUUGUUAUGCUUAAUCAUUUCAAGCUUUCUGACUGCUGUGAGGAUGUCGUGGAACAUUAGAAUAAAAUCAGCUCGAUGCUCAUGCAUAAUGUGCAAGAAGUUUUUUGUUUUCUAUAAUUUCUACUCUUUCAUACUAAUUGUCAUCAGCAGAGGAUGCAGGCUGCAGUUGUCUUGCUAAAUAUAAAUAUAGCUACAGUAUUUUUUGUUCAAUUUAUUCAUUUAUCUCACCCUGGGUGUAUGCAGCAUGUAAAAUGUAUCUCAAGAAAGAUAAAGAGAGUAUUUCAGUGUGUGUGCACUGUAGAAAUGAGAGGUGUAGAAUGUAUGAGUGCUUUUUAUUUUUAUUGAGAAACAAAAUGUAAGAGUGAUUGCCAUCCCUUUCUGCCACAGAUUUUGGUUAUGGCUCCAUGCUCCAGAUGCUUAUGGAAGAAUUGAGAAAUAUAUUCUCCAAAAAUUCAGACGUGGUAAUAUUAAAUGACUUAAAUAUUAAUUAUUUUACAAUUUCAAUCAUUUAAAGUAUUAUCUAGGAAAAAAGAGUUCACCAUAAAUGCUUUAUAACAAAACAAAAUCCUGUUAUACCUAUAUAUCACUGUAAGUAAAAUUUUAUGUACAUAAGCUAAUAAUGAGAUUAAAUGUUUAAUUUCACUAUC